GCAGGCAUCCUGCAGGGCAGAGGCCCGGGAACAAGUACCCAAGCCUCUCUCCUCUUGCAUCUCCCAGUCUGGAUCCAGCCAGAAGCCAGAGGACAAGAGUUUCUACAGCCCAGCCCCCCAGGCCUGGCCAGGAGGACCCUGCACACAGUGUGGAAAGCCCAGAAGAAUCUUGUGAAGACAAAAGUCAGAUCAUGCCCGCACCUCGCUCGCUCAGGUCUCCCCAGCAGGUAAAAAAUUCCAUAAGCGAGAAGAGAACUGACCUAAAGACAGAUUUGAUGAUGUUGUUUUAAGACUCUUCGUUAAGGUGUCUGAAACACUGACGGUGGUACUGAUCUUGGCAAGACACGAUGGCUUCUAAGAAUCUUCAGGACUCGAAAGGAGAUGGAAGCAGAUACACAGGAAACCCAUCAAGUUUUCAAGAGAGCAGAUCGGUGAAAACACCCCACGCCUGAACUUCAAGGGACUGCCGGUGUUCAAAGUGAAAAUAGCCCAGCUUUCUAGGAGCAUGCUGAGAAAACGAUUCUGCACAAAUUGCAGCCAUUUCUGGAGGAACUGGAGGAGUGAUAAAGAGGGGGAGACUCAGGAGACGAGAGGAAGGCCAAGAGCCAAGGAGAGCCCUUGAUUCUCUUCUCUUUAUCAUCCUUCUUUUGGACUUGGGAACUCCUCCCAGGAAGCCCAGCCAGCCCCCAAUCGAGGGCUGCCCUUGCCCCCGGAAGCAGAGGAUAUUGGGAGCAUGAGCCUGGUUGGGCUGUAGGGCGGCUGCUGGGACCUGAGGACUCAUCCUCCUCGGUUUAGUUGGGACCAUCUACUCUGGGAGUCCUGCCCUUCUUCCCCUUGAGACACUGGGUCUCGGGGCUGGGGAUGGGACCGUCUGCCCCUUAGAUGCCUCAUCUGCCCAUGGCCCUGGUUCAGAAGCGUUGUGGACCGAGUCAUGCCUCCCCAGAUGCGUCUGUGGAGGCCCUCACCCCUAACGUGCCUGUGUCUGGAGAUGGAGCCUUUAGGAGAUAGUUAAGGGUAAGUGAGGUCACUCCCCAUGUGUCCACACCAGGGACACACUCCCAUGGAGACCCAGCAAGGAGGUGGCUGCGUGUAAGCUGGGGAGAGAGCCCUGCCCAGAACCCGGCAGUGCUGGUGCCCUGAGCUUGGAGUCCCGGCCUCUAGAUAUAUAAGAAAAUAAACCUCCGUUCCUUAAA
This is a long non-coding RNA of Suricata suricatta (meerkat), 1193 nucleotides long. RefSeq lists it as uncharacterized. The transcript is spliced from 4 exons. The record is from RefSeq and is a predicted model, not a curated record. NCBI's taxonomy places the organism in Eukaryota, Metazoa, Chordata, Mammalia, Carnivora, Herpestidae.